This 705-nucleotide ribosomal RNA is filed under the name Mucor moelleri. RNAcentral describes it as "partial 28S large subunit ribosomal RNA". It matches the Rfam family "Eukaryotic large subunit ribosomal RNA", at positions 66 to 669 of the family's 3401-position model. Lineage: Eukaryota; Fungi; Mucoromycota; Mucoromycetes; Mucorales; Mucoraceae. The record is from RNAcentral.
UAACAAUGAUUUCCCCAGUAACGGCGAGUGAAGAGGAAAGAGCUCAAAGUUGGAACCUGUUUGGCUUAGCUAAACCGGAUUGUAAACUGUAGAAGUGUUUUCCAGGCACGCCAGGUAAAAAGUCCUUUGGAACAGGGCAUCAUAGAGGGUGAGAAUCCCGUCUUUGGCCUGAGCAGUUGCCUUUUGUGAUACAUUUUCAAAGAGUCAGGUUGUUUGGGAAUGCAGCCUAAAUUGGGUGGUAAAUCUCACCUAAAGCUAAAUAUUUGCGAGAGACCGAUAGCGAACAAGUACCGUGAGGGAAAGAUGAAAAGAACUUUGAAAAGAGAGUUAAACAGUAUGUGAAAUUGUUAAAAGGGAACCGUUUGGAGCCAGACUGGCUUGACUGUAAUCAAUCUAGGCUUCGGCCUGGAUGCACUUGCGGUCUAUGCCUGCCAACGACAAUUUUUUUUCUGGGAAAAAACCAAGAGGAAUGUGGCCCCCCUUCGGGGGGGGUGUUAUAGCCUCUUGGAAAAUACCAGGAAUUGGAUUGAGGAACGCAGCGAAUGCCUUUAGGCAAGAUUGCUGGGUGCUUUCGCCGAUAGGUGCUAGAAUUUCUGCCUUGGGUGGUGCUAGUGUUUAAAGGUGGAACUCGCCUAGUAUUAUUUUUUAUUCGCUUAGGUUGUUGGCUUAAUGACUCUAAAUGACCCGUCUUGAAACACGGACCAA